CGUCGAUGGAUUUCUCGCAGCUUGGCUACCUGUUGCUUUGGAUCCGGUUCAGCAGCGGGCAAUGCUCAAGACAGAGUUGGGCGCACAUCAUAUAUAUACAUAUGUUGUCGUGUCUUAAUAAAUGGAGAUGAGCAGAAGUAGAGAUGAGAUAUCUAUCCGACUGUCAUCCUUCCAAGACUUGGGUUUGUCAUCUCUGUCAGCGUCCGCCUCCGCUUCCUUUGUUGGUUGUCGUUUCUUUGUACACUGCUGUAGUUUAGAGAUCAUAAUAUAUUUUCCAUGGAUACAAUUGAAUACGACACCCAAUUUGCUAUAUAAUUGUUCAGCUCUCUCUCAUAGCGAUUCAUACAAAAUAUCAUGCAUAGUGGUCCCAGCUUAAGUAGAAUAUAACCAUUGGAUUGUUCAAACUUUGCUCGUGUUUCGCAGGGCACCAUAACUCUAAUCUGACAUGAGCAGUGCAACCACGACAGUGAGCAGUGGAACCGCAAGAUAGAGAUAGAUACAAGUAGAAUAUAACUGGUCAUAUUUAUAAAAUGAUCACACUACUUAUGGUGCCGGAAGAGAAGGCAUCAGUGAUAGUGGGCUUGGUGAUGAGGGCAUCAAUACGAAGAGAUUAAUUCACAACUUUGUUCUUGAUAGGUUGUAC
Non-coding RNA from Triticum urartu, 643 nucleotides. NCBI's taxonomy places the organism in Eukaryota, Viridiplantae, Streptophyta, Magnoliopsida, Poales, Poaceae. The record is from RefSeq and is a predicted model, not a curated record.